This 73-nucleotide transfer RNA is filed under the name Candidatus Tremblayella phenacoccinincola. RNAcentral's name for it is "Candidatus Tremblaya phenacola tRNA-Thr". It matches the Rfam family "tRNA". Rfam says of the family: Transfer RNA (tRNA) molecules are approximately 80 nucleotides in length. Their secondary structure includes four short double-helical elements and three loops (D, anti-codon, and T loops). Lineage: Bacteria; Pseudomonadati; Pseudomonadota; Betaproteobacteria. The record is from RNAcentral.
GCUGAUAUAGCUUAGUAGGUUAGAGCACAUCUUUGGUAUAGAUGAGACGUCGGUUCGAGUCCGACUUUCGGCA